RNAcentral lists this unclassified non-coding RNA (520 nucleotides) under uncultured Glomus. RNAcentral's name for it is "SSU rRNA". It matches the Rfam family "Eukaryotic small subunit ribosomal RNA", at positions 569 to 1089 of the family's 1831-position model. The record is from RNAcentral. Lineage: Eukaryota; Fungi; Glomeromycota; Glomeromycetes; Glomerales; Glomeraceae.
GGCAGCCGCGGUAAUUCCAGCUCCAAUAGCGUAUAUUAAAGUUGCUGCAGUUAAAAAGCUCGUAGUUGAAUUUCGGGACUAAUAUGUCGGUCGUGCCUUGGUACGUACUGGUAUUUUUGGUUUCUCCCUUCUGACGAACCUUGAUGUCAUUAAUUUGGUGUCUUGGGAAAUCAGGACUGUUACUUUGAAAAAAUUUAGAGUGUUUAAAGCAGGCUCACGCUUGAAUACAUUAGCGUGGAAUAAUGAAAUAGGACGUUUGAUUCUAUUUUGUUGGUUUCUAGGAUCGACGUAAUGAUUAAUAGGGAUAGUUGGGGGCAUUAGUAUUCAAUUGUCAGAGGUGAAAUUCUUGGAUUUAUUGAAGACUAACUACUGCGAAAGCAUUUGCCAAGGAUGUUUUCAUUAAUCAGGAACGAAAGUUAGGGGAUCGAAGACGAUCAGAUACCGUCGUAGUCUUAACCAUAAACUAUGCCGACUAGGGAUCGGAUGAUGUUAAUUUUUUUAAUGACUCAUUCGGCGCCUU